Molecule: microRNA precursor, 86 nt
Filed under: Chlorocebus sabaeus (green monkey)
Lineage: Eukaryota; Metazoa; Chordata; Mammalia; Primates; Cercopithecidae
Description: miRNA (ENSCSAG00000022005.1)
Source: RNAcentral
GCCUGGUUUCCUCACUCACCCAUCGCGGCUCCGCUCGCUCACUUGGCGGCGGCGGCGGCGGCGGCGGCGGCGGCAGCGACGGCAGC